RNAcentral lists this ribosomal RNA (440 nucleotides) under uncultured bacterium. RNAcentral's name for it is "partial 16S ribosomal RNA". It matches the Rfam family "Bacterial small subunit ribosomal RNA", at positions 338 to 795 of the family's 1533-position model. The record is from RNAcentral.
CCUACGGGAGGCAGCAGUGGGGAAUAUUGCACAAUGGGGGAAACCCUGAUGCAGCGACGCCGCGUGAGUGAAGAAGUAAUUCGUUAUGUAAAGCUCUAUCAGCAGGGAAGUAAAUGCCGGUACCUGAGUAAGAAGCCCCGGCUAACUACGUGCCAGCAGCCGCGGUAAGACGUAGGGGGCAAGCGUUAUCCGGAUUUACUGGGUGUAAAGGGAGCGUAGGCGGCAGUGCAAGUCUGGAGUGAAAGGCGGGGGCUCAACCCCCGGACUGCUCUGGAAACUGUACGGCUGGAGUGCAGGAGAGGUAAGUGGAAUUCCUGGUGUAGCGGUGAAAUGCGUAGAUAUUAGGAGGAACACCAGUGGCGAAGGCGGCUUACUGGACUGUAACUGACGUUGAGGCUCGAAAGCGUGGGGAGCAAACAGGAUUAGAUACCCCUGUAGUC